AGUGAACGCUGGCGGUAGGCCUAACACAUGCAAGUCGAACGGCAGCACAGUAAGAGCUUGCUCUUACGGGUGGCGAGUGGCGGACGGGUGAGGGAUACAUCGGAAUCUACUUUUUCGUGGGGGAUAACGUAGGGAAACUUACGCUAGUACCGCAUACGACCUACGGGUGAAAGCAGGGGAUCUUCGGACCUUGCGCGAUUGAAUGAGCCGAUGUCGGAUUAGCUAGUUGGCGGGGUAAAGGCCCACCAAGGCGACGAUCCGUAGCUGGUCUGAGAGGAUGAUCAGCCACACUGGAACUGAGACACGGUCCAGACUCCUACGGGAGGCAGCAGUGGGGAAUAUUGGACAAUGGGCGCAAGCCUGAUCCAGCCAUACCGCGUGGGUGAAGAAGGCCUUCGGGUUGUAAAGCCCUUUUGUUGGGAAAGAAAAGCAGCAGGUUAAUACCCCGCUGUUCUGACGGUACCCAAAGAAUAAGCACCGGCUAACUUCGUG
RNAcentral lists this ribosomal RNA (492 nucleotides) under uncultured bacterium. RNAcentral describes it as "partial 16S ribosomal RNA". It matches the Rfam family "Bacterial small subunit ribosomal RNA", at positions 29 to 507 of the family's 1533-position model. The record is from RNAcentral.